This 428-nucleotide ribosomal RNA is filed under the name uncultured bacterium. RNAcentral's name for it is "partial 16S ribosomal RNA". It matches the Rfam family "Bacterial small subunit ribosomal RNA", at positions 355 to 774 of the family's 1533-position model. RNAcentral also lists the same sequence under 1 other name. The record is from RNAcentral.
UGGGGAAUAUUGGACAAUGGGGGGAACCCUGAUCCAGCCAUGCCGCGUGUGUGAAGAAGGCCUUUUGGUUGUAAAGCACUUUAAGCGAGGAGGAGGCUCCCAGUAUUAAUACUACUGGAGAGUGGACGUUACUCGCAGAAUAAGCACCGGCUAACUCUGUGCCAGCAGCCGCGGUAAUACAGAGGGUGCAAGCGUUAAUCGGAUUUACUGGGCGUAAAGCGUGCGUAGGUGGCCAAUUAAGUCAAAUGUGAAAUCCCCGAGCUUAACUUGGGAAUUGCAUUCGAUACUGGUUGGCUAGAGUAUGGGAGAGGAUGGUAGAAUUCCAGGUGUAGCGGUGAAAUGCGUAGAGAUCUGGAGGAAUACCGAUGGCGAAGGCAGCCAUCUGGCCUAAUACUGACACUGAGGUACGAAAGCAUGGGGAGCAAACA